AUCCUGGCUCAGGACGAACGCUGGCGGCGUGCUUAACACAUGCAAGUCGAACGGUGAUGCCCAGCUUGCUGGGCGGAUCAGUGGCGAACGGGUGAGUAACACGUGAGUAACCUGCCCCAGACUCCGGGAUAAGCCUUGGAAACGAGGUCUAAUACUGGAUACGAGACGCCCCUGCAUGGGGAGUGUCUGGAAAGAUUUAUCGGUCUGGGAUGGACUCGCGGCCUAUCAGCUUGUUGGUGGGGUAAUGGCCUACCAAGGCGACGACGGGUAGCCGGCCUGAGAGGGCGACCGGCCACACUGGGACUGAGACACGGCCCAGACUCCUACGGGAGGCAGCAGUGGGGAAUAUUGCACAAUGGGCGAAAGCCUGAUGCAGCGACGCCGCGUGAGGGAUGAAGGCCUUCGGGUUGUAAACCUCUUUCAGCAGGGAAGAAGCGCAAGUGACGGUACCUGCAGAAGAAGCGCCGGCUAACUACG
RNAcentral lists this ribosomal RNA (477 nucleotides) under Oerskovia turbata. RNAcentral's name for it is "bacterial SSU rRNA". It matches the Rfam family "Bacterial small subunit ribosomal RNA", at positions 16 to 505 of the family's 1533-position model. The record is from RNAcentral. Lineage: Bacteria; Bacillati; Actinomycetota; Actinomycetes; Micrococcales; Cellulomonadaceae.